Molecule: ribosomal RNA, 253 nt
Filed under: uncultured bacterium
Lineage: Bacteria
Description: partial 16S ribosomal RNA
Rfam family: Archaeal small subunit ribosomal RNA
Source: RNAcentral
UACCAGCACCCCGAGUGGUCGGGACGUUUAUUGGGCCUAAAGCAUCCGUAGCCGGUUCUACAAGUCUUCCGUUAAAUCCACCUGCUUAACAGAUGGGCCGCGGAGGAUACUAUAAGACUAGGAGGCAGGAGAGGCAAGCGGUACUCAGUGGGUAGGGGUAAAAUCCGUUGAUCCAUUGAAGACCACCAGUGGCGAAGGCGGCUUGCCAGAAUGCGCUCGACGGUGAGGGAUGAAAGCUGGGGGAGCAAACCGG